This 468-nucleotide ribosomal RNA is filed under the name uncultured bacterium. RNAcentral's name for it is "partial 16S ribosomal RNA". It matches the Rfam family "Bacterial small subunit ribosomal RNA", at positions 28 to 507 of the family's 1533-position model. The record is from RNAcentral.
GACGAACGCUGGCGGCGUGCUUAACACAUGCAAGUCGAACGGAAAGGCCCUGCUUUUGUGGGGUGCUCGAGUGGCGAACGGGUGAGUAACACGUGAGUAACCUGCCCUUGACUUUGGGAUAACUUCAGGAAACUGGGGCUAAUACCGGAUAGGAGCUCCUGCUGCCUGGUGGGGGUUGGAAAGUUUCGGCGGUUGGGGAUGGACUCGCGGCUUAUCAGCUUGUUGGUGGGGUAGUGGCUUACCAAGGCUUUGACGGGUAGCCGGCCUGAGAGGGUGACCGGCCACAUUGGGACUGAGGUACGGCCCAGACUCCUACGGGAGGCAGCAGUGGUGAAUAUUGCACAAUGGGCGGAAGCCUGAGGCAGCGACGCCGCGUGCGGUAUGACGGCCUUCGGGUUGUAAACCGCUUUCGCCUGUGACGAAGCGUAAGUGACGGUAAUGGGUAAAGAAGCACCGGCUAACUACGUG